UCUAGAACUUGAGAUAUGGGCUAAACACUAAACAAUGUCUGGGUUGCAGGACAGAUUCGGACUUCUCUGUUGUUGCUACAAUUUGGACUUGAAAACGAUCUUGUUAAAUCUUGGACUCCUCAUGAACGUUGUAGGCCUAUGUCUUAGCUUUCCAUC
Populus trichocarpa (black cottonwood) is the source of this 156-nucleotide non-coding RNA. The record is from Rfam. Lineage: Eukaryota; Viridiplantae; Streptophyta; Magnoliopsida; Malpighiales; Salicaceae.